This 291-nucleotide ribosomal RNA is filed under the name uncultured Leptolinea sp. Its description in RNAcentral is "partial 16S ribosomal RNA". It matches the Rfam family "Bacterial small subunit ribosomal RNA", at positions 1077 to 1382 of the family's 1533-position model. Lineage: Bacteria; Bacillati; Chloroflexota; Anaerolineae; Anaerolineales; Anaerolineaceae. The record is from RNAcentral.
CGGUUAAGUCCGCUAACGAGCGCAACCCUCGUCGUGUGUUAUACGUGUCACACGAUACUGCCGGUAUCCAAGCCGGAGGAAGUGGGGAUGAUGUCAAGUCAGCAUGGCCUUUAUAUCCUGGGCUACACACACGCUACAAUGGCCAACACAAUAGGUUGCUAAGCCGCGAGGUGGCGCCAAUCCAUAAAGUUGGUCUCAGUUCAGAUUGUAGGCUGCAACCCGCCUGCAUGAAGAUGGAGUUGCUAGUAACCGCAGGUCAGCUAUACUGCGGUGAAUACGUUCCCGGGGCUU